CUGGUCACGAUAGACAGGUCAAUGUGUGUCUGUGUGUAUAUCCGUGUAUUUGCAUGUAUGUCAGUGUGUACCUGUGUAUCUGCAUGUGUGUCAGUGUGUGUUCAUGUGUAUAUGUGUGUGUGUGUUUAUGUGUAUUAGUGUGUGUUUCGGAGUGUGUGGUAGUAUAUACACACUACACAAACUCACACACAUACUACAUACAAAAA
Molecule: non-coding RNA, 206 nt
Organism: Pelobates cultripes (western spadefoot toad)
Lineage: Eukaryota; Metazoa; Chordata; Amphibia; Anura; Pelobatidae
Source: the annotation of a GenBank genome assembly